UAAUUCAAGUACUUUACUAUAGUAUGGUACUAUACUAUAGUAAUUACUAUAAAUUAUUUCUAUGAAGUAUUUUUUCAUGUGGGUUAUCUGAAGUUUUGACAUUCAGACAUUGUUGAAGAGUGACUUAAAUGUCCGAAUAGGUUUUGGUGCCAUUGUAAUACCAUGAUAAGAGUAUCUUAUUGAUACAUUGCAUUGUAUUGCAACAGAAGGGUCACUGUCCGCGGUUAAAUGAGUCAUACCUGACCAAAGAUAAAAGUAACCAGUCAGUUUGAUCUGUUUGUUUAUAUUGUUCUAACUCCAUCUGUCCACCCUUUAUGUAAUCCUGUUUUCUUUCUCCAUUUGGGGCGAGUUAAGAGGUGAGUGCUAUAGCUUCUGACAUUAGAGAGAGUGUGUGUGUGUGUGUGUGUGUGUGUGUGUGUGUGUGUGUGUGUGUGUGUGUGUGUGUGUGUGCGUGCGCGUUUAAAAGGGAGAGUGAGUCAGUGAGAUUUCAUCCCGUUAUUGUGGCUUGUGCUCUGACUCACUUCCAGAACGUUAAAUUAUCCACCAGCAACAGCUUCCUAAACCACAAAACAUACACACACUCGCUCCAAACAGCCCUGAACUUGAACUUUCCUCCAGUUAUCCCCUUCCUUAUCAUGUAUGUUUUGUGUGUUUUACACUAAACCAAAAACACCUGCAUUACUUCCCUUGGGAUUUCCCUCCCUAACGCUCAAGUAAAUUCAUGCGUCUGUGACCUUGCCGGUCUUGUGUGUGUGUUUAGGUCUGUCCAUGAGAGUAUCAACCUAUGACACAUUCACACAGACCUAUGAUGUCCUUUGUAAUUCUAAGCAAUGGCAUUCAUUAACGUUGACUUCAUAGUCUGAUUCAAGAAUUUGUUCACUGAAGAAUGACAUUUUUGUCAUUUACUCACCCUCGGGUCAUUACAAACCCAUAUGACUUGCUUUCUUCAGUGGAAAACAAAAGGAGAUGUUUUUACCAAUGUUCAUGCUGCUCUUUUCCAUUCAAUAUAUAGUGAUUACAGGGCUGUCAAGGAUGAAAAAAUUAAAAUUGUCUGAGGAGCUUAGUGUGUCGAAUAGACGGUCAUUAUUCACACACGAAAAUUAGAAUUAUAUGUAUCUUAUCUUAUGCAGUGCAGUUAUUGUUAACUAAAACUACAAGGAUUUAAAAAAAUGCAAUUAAAAUAAAUAAAUAUAAAUAUUAGAUGCAAAACAAACUUAAAAUGUCUUGCUUUGUAAUUGCUUUGGCAACUAACUCAACUAAGUUUAAGUUGAAGUAAUAAAAUUACUAGGUUACACUUUAUUUUAAAGUGUGUGUGUUACAGUGUGAUUAUACACUUAAGUACUGAGUAAUAAUAAUUAACUACAUAUACUUAUUAUAGGGUUAGAGUAGGAUUAGGGUUUGGUUUAGAGUUAAUUGCAUGUAAUUAUGCAUAAUUUAUAGUUAUUACUAUAGUAACCUAUACAUGUAACAUGUAACAAGGACACUGUAAAAUAAAGUGUUACCAAUUGCUAAAACUGAAAAAAAAAAAACAAAAAAAAAAAAAACAGUAAUAUUGUAAAAUAUUUUUACAAUUUAAAAUAACUUUCUAUUUGAAUAUAUUUUAAAAUGCAAUUUAUUCCUCUGAUGCAAAGCUGAAUUUUCAGCAUCAUUACUCCAGUCUUCGGUGUCACAUGAUCUUCAGAAAUCAUUCUAAUAUGCUGAUUUGCUGCUCAAUAAAUUUCUUUUUAUUAUCAGUGUUGAAAACAGUAGUGUACAAUAUUUUUUUCAGGAUUAUUCGAUGAAUAGAAAGUUCAAAAGAACAGCAUUUAUCUGAAAUAGAAAGCUUUUGCAACAUUAUAAAUGUCUAAACUGUCACUUUUGAUCGAUUUAAUGCAUCCUUGCUGAAUAAAAGUAUUAAUUUCUUUCCAAAAAACAAAAAAAAAACUCUUACUGACCCCAAACUUUUGAACGGUAGUGAUAAUGUUACAAAAGCUUUCUAUUUUAUAUAAAUGCUGUUCUUUUGAACUUUCUAUUCAUCAAAUAAUCCUGAAAAAAAAAAAAAAGUACAGUACUGUUUUUUUUUAACAAAAUUUACUAUUAUUUUAAAUUGUAAAACAUAUUUCACUAUAUUACUGUUUUUGCUGUAUUUUGGAUCAAAUAAAUGAAGCCUUGGUGAGCAGAAGAGACUUCUUUUAAAAACAUGAAAAAUUCUUACCGUUCAAAACUUUUGACCAGUAGUGUAAAUAUUUAACAAAAACUACUAAAAAUGACAAAAGCACAUAAUAAAAAAUAAAUGAAAUAAAAACAAUACUAGUUCAUAUAAAUAAUACUAAAAUAACACUGGACUUAUGAUACUUUUUAUGGUGCUGCUUAUUUUAGUAGCCAUUCACUUUCAUUAUAUGUAAAACAGCAGCUUGAACAUUCUUCAAACCAUCUCCUUUUGUGUUCCACGGAAGAUAUAGAAACUCAAACGGGUUUGGACUGACAUGAGGUUAAGUAAAUGAUGCCAGAAAUUUCAAUUUUGGCUUAACUCUCCCUUUAAGUUGUGCCAGAGCUGAAGUAGAGCGCUCAAUGUGCGCUUUCUUUUUCUCUCUCCCACUAUUUCUCUCUUUCUCCUCCCUCCUUCUCAUUAUGAAUAAACUUGUGUCUGGUCGUGUCUUCUGUAGUUGUGCCAGCAUCUGUGAUUGGUCAUGGCCGGGAUCUCUGACGCACCGCGUGAUGCUGCCCUCAUCUGCUCCUGAUCGCUGCAUCACGUCGGCGUCUGUCUCAUUAUUGGCUUUAAAGAUGCUGCUGCACAAAACUCUUUCUCAUAACUGAUGAGGAGACGAAACAACGAUGUUGUUAGUGAGACAGGCACACUUAAUUUAUGCAUUAAUGUUAAUAAUUUUAGAAAAUACAAUUCUGAUAGUUUUGAUAACAUGAGCAGAUAACUGCAUAUAGCAAAUAAUAAUCCCUUAAGUAAUGAUAAACAGUUGUGCUGCUUAAUUUUUUUUUUUUUUUUUUUGUGAAAACUGAUACUUCUUUGAUGAAUAGAAAGUUCAAAAGAACAGCAUUUAUUUGAAAUACAAAUCUUUUGUAACAUUAUUAAUGCCUUCACUGACACUUUUGAUCAAUUUAAUGUGUUCUUUCUGAAUAAAAGUAUUAAUUUUUUUCCAUAAGAAGUCUAAUGCUCCCAAAUGUUUGAAUGCUUCUGUAUGUAAGCAACAAGCAUGUCAUGCACACUUGAUUUUAGAAAGCUGUUGAGUGUUUGACGUUACUUGAGUCACUGUAGUGCUACUUUCUGGCCUUGUUUUUGUGAACAUGUUUGUGUGUUUGUACUUGUGAGUGUGAGGGCAUCAUGAGGCGUCCGAAUCUAAUUUGGGGGUGACUUCUCUAACACUUGGUUAUGUCGCUAGGGAAAUACAUCAUCAGUGGUGUCUCCAAAGGGGGUGGUUGGUCAAACCAGUCCACCAAGCCUAUGUUGACAAUUAAGCACAUAUGCAACAUAUUUCACCAUUUCAUUUCCCUUGUAAAAGAAAUGCAUUUUGUAGCUUUAAUCUCCCCAGGAUAUCCCAAAGUGUUGAAUGGUUUCGCCCAAACUAAAUUGUCUUAAUUAUCACAAUUUAAUAUUAAAAUAUAUUAGCUUUUCAUAGAGCAUUUAAUGCAUAUAGGUGGUAUAAAUGUAUAUACACAGGAAUAACAAUCGCAGAAAACAGAAUAUUUCUUUACCGUUAAUGCUAUAAAGUUUUUUCAGAUAACCUAAAUAUUGUGCUUUAUGUCAGAACAUCUAAAUUAAGUCCAAAAUUUAAUUUAAUGAACUAUAUCAGCCUAACAAAUUACAUUAAUGGAAGUAAUUUUUGUGGUUUAGAUCAACUUUUUAUGGUGCAGUAGUAGUAGCCUUUCACUUUCAUUGUAUGUAAAACAGAAGCUUGAGCAUUCCUUUCCAAUCUCCUUUUGUGUUCCACGCAAGAUAGAAACUCAUACGGGUUUGGACUGACAUGAGGUUGAGUAAAUGAUGCCAGAAAUUUCAAUUUUGGCAUAACUAUCGCUUUUAAUUGCGCCAGAGCUGAAGUACAUGAAGUCACGUGAAACCCCGCGUAUGUCCAAAGGUAAUGGAAAUGGAGAAGGCAAGUCUACCUCUUCAGGUGGGAGAGAUAGGCAUGCCUGUUUUUACUGCCUUGACCCAGAUCACCUGCUUGCAGAGUGCUGGGCUUGGGAAAAGAAAAAUGUUGAUGGUAACUCUAAGAAUGUUGCUCUCAUAUGAACGAUGUCUGUGACUAAGAAAAAGUCCAUGCAACCUUUCUCUUUGUCUGAUACUGAGCAUCAACCUGUUGUGAUCUUGCGAGAUACUGGCUCAGAACAGUCCUUAAUCCUGAAAGAGUUACUUCCCUUCUCGCGGAGUUCCUACACCGGCUCUGAUGUAUUAAUACGUGGUAUAGAGAUUGGAUGCGAUCGUGUUCCUCUCCAUCGGGCACACUUGAAGUCAGACCUUGUGACUGGUAUAGUCAACCUUGCUGUGUGUUCCCAGUUACCAUUUGAAGGAGUAGGUCUUAUACUGGGGAAUGAUCUAGCAAGUGACCAUUUUUUUCCCUAGACCUAUUGUGGUGAACAACGGUAAUUUUGGUGAUGCCUCCUCUGCAUCUCCGGAGUGUGAAGUGGUGCAACUGCCAGUGAAAAAGUUCAGAAACGUUGACCUCACUUUGGCAAACCCCCUCUGAACCUCCCAGAUGAUUAAGCCUGCAAUUUGUGACGAAACUGAUGUGAAUAUAAACCCACUCAAACUUUGCAUUGGUAAAGCUCCUUUAAGUGGAGUGCAGAGAACAGACUCGUCCCAUCCUCCAUGUUCUGAUGCGGUGGCAAGUUAUGAGCAACUGCCUGAUGGAGGAAAUGCUUGCUUGAGUAAUAACGGUGUGACAACAGAGAAAUAAGAAAGACAGUCAGAGGGAUUUAGAACGACAUGACGGUAUCAGAGCGGCACAGUCAUUCUCCAGGGAACUCAAAGCGCCUGAUGUGUUGCUAAGAGAAAUGACAUCCGAAAGGGGGACAGACAAACAUUUGUCCAGCUGAGCUGCGGUAACAGGAUUUUGUUUGGACAGGAGCUUCUCUCUGCAGGGAAGAAGGUGUAGGAACAAGCUGAAGAAAUUGAGAAAUACAUGCCAGCGGUGAUCCUGCAAAUGUCUGUUUCCCACAGGAAUGAAGCUUAUACAGGCAAAACAAAGAAAAGCCCCCUCGGAUGGAGAGGAAGAGAGAGAGGGAUGGAAUGAGAAAGAGAGCGAGUGAAAGAGAGUGAGUCAUGAGUGCAGCUUUGAACAACAAGGGGAAAUCCUCCUAUUGAGAGGCAUGCGCUGUGGAAACACUCAUCACUCAUAGAGCCAGGUAGGUCACCCUAGCAGCACCUUGGCAACCACCCAGAGUAACCACACAGAACAACUUAAGCAACAGCCUGGCAUCAUGACUAUUUCACAGAGCUUUUCUCAGGCUUCCAUCUUCAGACUUGUUGGCUAGUCACAGACCACACAUGCUGGAGAAAGCUGAAAUUACAGCAAAACAAGGGCAGAGCUUCUUGUGUAAGCAGUUUUUCCUUGAGCUCCUGACAGUGACAGCUCCACUUUCACAAUGGAGAACCUCUGAAAUGCUGAAAAAGCUACUGCUUUUGUGUCCUGCAUAGGAAAUAAAGUCAUAUUAUAGCACGGACAUUCUUGAGAUGACAGACAUGCACACCUACAGGAGCUCAGGGGUGAAGCCCCCCACGGCGAAGGAAACGGCCCAAGGAAAGGCCUCAUGCUGAAGAGAGAGGGGCCCGGCCGCUCCUUCAACAAUGGAAGUUCCUGGAAGAAUCAUGGAAGUAGGAAGGCAGUGAAACAUCCCAGCGCAAACAUGGUUCCCGUCUCUUGUCACCUUCCUGCGAGGGAACAUAUGGCCAGAGACACUUUAGUGUGAUGAAAGCAAACACAACAGUCUCAAUCCGCAUCGGACCAACAGGCUGAAGCCCAAACGCUGUUAAAAACACUUUCACACAAGGCAGAAAAUACAGGAUCAGACCUGAGGUGAUUCUCUGUGUUCUUGGAGGGUUCUGGUUUAAAGAGGAGCUUUUGAAACUCUCUGCAAUCCUUGUCAGGAUGUUUUCUUCUUCCCUGCUGAACAGCCCCGGGACACAAGCUUAACAUGCACUGACGUGUGUGUGUGUGUGUGUGUGUGUGUGUGUGUGUGUGUGUGUGUGUGUGUGUGUGUGUGUGUGUGUGUGUGUGUGUGUGUGUGUGUGUGUGUGUGUGUGUGUGUGUGUGUGUGUGUGUGUGUGUGUGUGUGUGUUCGUUCAGCCCUUCUACAGAUGUUGCAACUUUUGAUCGUAACAUUUACAACGUUCAGUGUGCAGAAUGCAAUGGUUGACAAUAAGGAUACAUUUAAAAACACAUUUGCUCAUUGAAAUAGUUUUCAUAUGAGAUCUGCACAGUUUCAGCCACAGUCCCUUAAGAAAUAAAGUUAAUGAUUGAAACAUGAAACUAACUGGAAGCACUUUCAAAACGGAAGAUUUCUCAGGUCUUCUCUUUUUCGUAAGGGUCUCACUUUAACCAGCUUGGUCCCUUUAGCACCUCUCCGUCUACAACUUCAGAAUGUUUCAGGGGCCAGUUGUCUAGAAUAGAUGACAGCACAUUUACAUGUUUAAAGGCUGAAUGCAGACUCCAGAUUGUUAGGAGACAAUCCUUGCUUUCAUUCUUUCCAGAGCAUCCAUGACCCAACAGGUUUAAGCACAAAAGAUGAAAGGAGACUAAGUGAUGGAGGUCUAAAACCCGUUCUGACACUUGUUGCAAAACCGUCAGGUCUUGCUUAGUGUUCUAAGGAAAGCGAUAAAGGUCACUUUAAGUCCAUUUAAAAUGUCAUUUAUUCCUGUGAUGCAAAGCUGAAUUUUCAGCAUCAUUACUCCAGUCUUCAGUGUCACAUGAUCCUUCAGAAAUCAGUCUAAUAUGCUUAUUUGCUGCUCAAGAAACAUUUCUUACUGUCAGUGUUGGGCAGUAACUAGUUACUUUUGAUGCUUCAACCCCUACUGAUUUGAAAUCCAACAAUCCAGUAAUUCCUAGAUUUAUUUUCAUAAUUUUCACGACUUGAACAGGCACAUGAAGUCACCAGUGCAGCAGGUAAGCUUGGAAUAUGGAAAAGCUUACAUUCAGCCACAUCCCUCAAAUCCCAAUAUAAAUUAUAUUACUAUAAUUAAAAAUCUUUUUGGAAAAGAAAACAUUUUCUUAUGAACUUGUGAUUUCUUUUGAUAAAAUACAUCAUGAGUAUAUAGGUAACAGAGAAAUGACAGCUACAAUUAACUUCAAGCUACACAUGACAAUUAAUGAGAUUAAUGAGUAACUAUCAAUAACCAUUGAGUGUUUGUAAUAACUUCUGACUGUGAUCCAAUGUGGAUUUUGAUGUCAAAUGAUGAGGAAGAAUUAUGUUGUUAGUAAUAUUUUAGAAGAAUUUUAAUGGAAAGAUACACAAUUACAACUUCUGUGGGGCAUGAAGGAAAAGUAAUAUAGCUAGUAGUGUAACUAAUUACUGUUGCCAGAAAGUAACAAGUAAUAACAUUACUUUUGAAAGGAGUAACAAGUUUUUGAGUAAUGAGCCUUACUAUUAUUAUCAAUGUUAAAAACAGUUGUGCUGCUUAAUUUUUUUGUGUAAACUGUCAUACUUUUUUUUCAGGAUUCUUUAAUGAAUAGAACAGCAUUUUUUUAAUAGAAAUCUUUUGUAACAUCUUUACUGUCACUUUUAAUCAAUGUAAAGCAUGUUUGUUACUUCUCCCUCCCCCCCUCCCCCCCCCCCUCCUUUUUAAGGCAGCAAAAAUUUAUUUUUAGACAUUUAAUUGAAUCAUACAUUCAAUUGAAUUAAUUGCAUCAAUGAUUAAUUGAAUCAUACUUACUCUUGAAGAGCCAACUAGGGCAGUAAGUCAAAUAUUUAACCAGAGUGUCACUAACAUCAAGCGUUUUUUAAAUACUAGUUAAGAAUUUGACUUUCAAAUAUACAUUUAGAUAAUUGUAAAUUAUGUAAUGAGAAAAGACAGGCCCUCAUAACCACUUUUGAGGGUUGUCAUGGGAAAAGGAAGGGAAAAACCAAAUAAGCCAUUUUACUGAUCACACUAAAGUAUAUGUUUUUGCUUCAUAAUUCAGUUGACUUUAAAGCAAGGCUUGAGCAUGUAGGUUCAGUUAUGGGACUGCAGUUCAUAUGGGCAAGUCUGUGCUACCGUAGAAUUUCCUGACAAUAUAACACUCCUACACUUUAAUGUUUUAUUGACCCACUGCAAUCAGGCCCUUUAGACUUUCAACAAAUGUCAAGCCAGCCACCCCCUCACCUUGACCCAAAUUCCAUCACUCAAACAUUCCUCCUUUUCUUUAAAGGUUUUUAAAUCUUGUGCAACUCUUUGUGUGUACCUGUGAAGAAACCACACCUUGAUAUCAUUAAAUGAUUUUCUGCAUGGUGCCAAUAAAAAGAUCCAAACACAACAUGUCAUCUUGCUCAUUCUUUAUUACUUUAUAAAACAAAGUGAGGAUGAACAGAACUUUUUUUUUUCUCUCUCAAAAACCUGAAAAUGAACCAAAAGAAAAGAGCCUAAAUAAUUUAUGAUACAUAAUUAACAGGUGAUAUAUACAUAAAAAAAAAAUAAAAAAAAUUAAAUUGAAGAAAUAUUCUGUACAGUUGCCAUUAUGAAGGCAAUAAAAUAGCCAGGUUUGUUCCUGGUAGAGGUAGAUAAACAAAGAAACAGGAGGGAACAUACAAUAA
Long non-coding RNA from Ctenopharyngodon idella (grass carp), 8715 nucleotides. RefSeq lists it as uncharacterized. Lineage: Eukaryota; Metazoa; Chordata; Actinopteri; Cypriniformes; Xenocyprididae. The record is from RefSeq and is a predicted model, not a curated record. The transcript is spliced from 12 exons.